GCUCCUGUAGUGUAGACCGGCCAAUCAUUCCGGACUUUCGAUCCGGUGACCCGGGUCCGAAUCCCGGCGGGAGCA
Molecule: transfer RNA, 75 nt
Rfam family: tRNA
About the family: Transfer RNA (tRNA) molecules are approximately 80 nucleotides in length. Their secondary structure includes four short double-helical elements and three loops (D, anti-codon, and T loops).
Source: Rfam